ACUGCAUAUGGUGGUCACGGUCUCUCGAAUCGCAAGAUCGAGAGCUAAGAGGGAAGCCGGUGCGAAACCGGCGCUGCCCCCGCAACUGUCAGCGGCGAGUACUUGUCCAGGAUAUCAGUCACUGAGGCCGCCAGGCUUUGGGAAGACGGGACGAGAGCGACGACCCGCGAGCCAGGAGACCUGCCGCGACAGCAGAAGCGUC
This 202-nucleotide non-coding RNA is filed under the name Allobosea sp. LC85. RNAcentral also lists the same sequence under 1 other name. Lineage: Bacteria; Pseudomonadati; Pseudomonadota; Alphaproteobacteria; Hyphomicrobiales; Alloboseaceae. The record is from RNAcentral.